GGAUUAUACAGUCAGAUGGAGAUGGAUAUGGGAACUAGUGAACAAGUAGAAGAAGAAACUAAGAAGUUAAAGGCUAGUGGUUGUU
Molecule: small RNA, 85 nt
Filed under: Arabidopsis thaliana (thale cress)
Lineage: Eukaryota; Viridiplantae; Streptophyta; Magnoliopsida; Brassicales; Brassicaceae
Description: ATSL243850
Source: RNAcentral